This 253-nucleotide ribosomal RNA is filed under the name uncultured bacterium. RNAcentral describes it as "partial 16S ribosomal RNA". It matches the Rfam family "Bacterial small subunit ribosomal RNA", at positions 524 to 776 of the family's 1533-position model. The record is from RNAcentral.
UACGAAGGGGGCGAGCGUUGUUCGGAUUUACUGGGCGUAAAGGGCGCGCAGGCGGCUCAUUUUGUCAGGCGUGAAAGCCCCGGGCUUAACCUGGGAACUGCGUUUGAUACGGAUGGGCUAGAGUUCGGGAGAGGAGAGUGGAAUUCCCAGUGUAGAGGUGAAAUUCGUAGAUAUUGGGAAGAACACCGGUGGCGAAGGCGGCGACCUGGUCCGAUACUGACGCUGAGGCGCGAAAGCGUGGGGAGCAAACAGG